RNAcentral lists this unclassified non-coding RNA (240 nucleotides) under soil metagenome. RNAcentral's name for it is "partial contains 5.8S ribosomal RNA, internal transcribed spacer 2, and large subunit ribosomal RNA". The record is from RNAcentral.
AACGCACGAGACCUGCGGACCUGCGGAGGGAUCAUUACAGAGUUCAUGCCCUCCGGGUAGAUCUCCCACCCACUGCUAUCACUACUCUCGUUGCUUUGGCGGGCCGCUGGGCCCUGCCCGGCCGCCGGCCCCGGCUGGCGCGUGCCCGCCAGAGACCUCACAGACUCUGAAUGUUAGUGUCGUCCGAGUAACUAUACAAUCGUUAAAACUUUUAGCAACGGAUCUCUAGAUCGGAAGAGC